AGAUUGAACGCUGGCGGCGUGCCUAACACAUGCAAGUCGAGCGGUAACAGGUGUAGCAAUACAUGCUGACGAGCGGCGAACGGGUGAGUAAUGCUUUGGAAUCUUCCCAGUAGUGGGGAAUAACCAGUCGAAAGAUUGGCUAAUACCGCAUACGUCUGUAAAGGGAAAGCGGGGGCUCGUAAGACCUCGCGCUAUUGGAUGAGCCAAAGUCGGAUUAGCUAGUUGGUGGGGUAAUGGCCUACCAAGGCGACAAUCCGUAGCUGGUCUGAGAGGACGACCAGCCACACCGGAACUGAGACACGGUCCGGACUCCUACGGGAGGCAGCAGUGGGGAAUAUUGGACAAUGGGGGAAACCCUGAUCCAGCGACGCCGCGUGUGUGAAGAAGGCCUGCGGGUUGUAAAGCACUUUUAGUGGGGACAAAAAGCUACGGAUUAAUACUCUGUGGUCUUGAUUUAACCCAAAGAAAAGCACCGGCUAACUCUGUGCCAGCAGCCGCGGUAA
Molecule: ribosomal RNA, 503 nt
Filed under: uncultured bacterium
Lineage: Bacteria
Description: SSU rRNA
Rfam family: Bacterial small subunit ribosomal RNA
Source: RNAcentral